Molecule: non-coding RNA, 22 nt
Filed under: Arabidopsis thaliana (thale cress)
Lineage: Eukaryota; Viridiplantae; Streptophyta; Magnoliopsida; Brassicales; Brassicaceae
Source: RNAcentral
ACUUGUGUUGAUGGACUUAUCA